This 418-nucleotide ribosomal RNA is filed under the name uncultured Aminicenantes bacterium. RNAcentral's name for it is "bacterial SSU rRNA". It matches the Rfam family "Bacterial small subunit ribosomal RNA", at positions 971 to 1382 of the family's 1533-position model. The record is from RNAcentral. Lineage: Bacteria; Candidatus Aminicenantota.
UUACCUGGGCUUGAACUGCUGGUGGUAGAAGCCCGAAAGGGUAACGACCCGGAGCAAUCCGGGAGCCAGUAGAGGUGCUGCAUGGCUGUCGUCAGCUCGUGUCGUGAGAUGUUGGGUUAAGUCCCGCAACGAGCGCAACCCUUACCUUACGUUGCCAGCGGGUAAUGACCGGGCACGUCUAAGGGGACCGCCCGGAUAACGGGAGGAAGGCGGGAUGACGUCAAGUCAGCAUGGCCUUUAUGUCCAGGGCUACACACGUGCUACAAUGGGCGAUACAGAGGGAAGCAAAGCCGCAAGGUAGAGCUAAUCCCUAAAGUCGUCCUCAGUUCGGAUUGCAGGCUGCAACUCGCCUGCAUGAAGUCGGAAUCGCUAGUAAUCGCGGAUCAGCUACGCCGCGGUGAAUACGUUCUCGGGCCUU